GGCCAACUGCCCCACCCCCCCCAAGGUGGUAAAUGGAAUUUUUCUGUAGCGGUAGAAUGUGCGGAUAGAAAAUAGAACCCCAAAAGCUGAAGCAAUUUACCGCGGGGUGGGAGGGGGGGCCCCCUGGGGCGCCCCCCCGGGCUACGGGCUGAAACACGAGGGUGUGGGGAACAAACAGGAUUAGAGACCCUGGUAGUCCACACUGUAAACGAUGGAGAAAAUGCAAAUGCAGUCCCGAAAGGCAGCAAUCUCCCGCCUGAGUAGUACGAUCGCCAGAUUAAAACUCCAAAAAUUUGGCUGUUCACCGUUUCGAUUAGAGGAGCGUGUAGUUUAAUUCGAUAAACCGCGAGAUACCUUACCCAAACUUGAAUCCUUGAGGAUUCUAAGGAAUCCUUAUGGACCGGUAUUGCAUGGCCGUCGUCAGUUCGUGUAUGAAACUUUAAACGGACCCAACCCGAGGAUUCUUUUCAGACUACCCUAAUUAGGGUAGGGGCCGCGGAUGAAGUCAGGUCUUAUGGUCCCAAUGUUUGGGGAUAAUAUGCGCUACAUUUUCUUAUACAAUGGGAAACCUGGGAGGUGAAACCCAAAAGUGAGAGUUCGGUAGGCUAUUGGAAGAUGGCCGAAAGUUGAAUUUAAUAGUAAU
RNAcentral lists this ribosomal RNA (643 nucleotides) under Neozoanthus uchina. Its description in RNAcentral is "partial small subunit ribosomal RNA". It matches the Rfam family "Bacterial small subunit ribosomal RNA", at positions 627 to 1342 of the family's 1533-position model. Lineage: Eukaryota; Metazoa; Cnidaria; Anthozoa; Zoantharia; Neozoanthidae. The record is from RNAcentral.